UUUAAAAAUACGUGUGCAAUAAAGUUCUAAGUUACAUCCCUAAACUUUCUUGCAAAUACAAUUUGUAACUUUUCAGAGGAGAGAGACAUGGCAGAGAUUUUUUGAAGAGUACUGGGAGCCUGAUGGGGAGAUAUCUACCCACGAAGGUCCAGGGUUGGCAAAAAUGUUCCCUGGACCCUCAGAUGUUGCCUACCCCUGCUCUAUAGAAGAGGAAUGCAUCUUAAACUCUAGUUUUUCCUCCCACAAAUAAAGACAGCACUGGAUAACAUAUAUAACCAUUCCUGGACUGCAUAUCACACAGGAAAACCAGCAAUGAUGAGAAAGCUGUUUUUCAGGCAGCUGUUUUCACCAUGUUACUGCUGUGUGCUUUCAAGUCAUUUACAAUGUAUGGCAACCCUAAGCUGACACUAUCAGGCAAGAUUUCCUUGUGGGGAGGGGUUGUCUUCCUCUAAGACAACAUGAUUUGCUCAAGCUCACCCUGUGGGUUUCCAUAGCCAAGCUGGGAUUUGAGCCCUGAUCUCCCACAUCAUUGUCCAACACUUGAAACAAUUUAAAAUAAGUACUGAGUCUUAUACGGCUGUCUAAACAUACUGGUUGACUAUGAUAUGCACUUGCUCUUUUGAAUUAGUAAAAAGCUCAGCAUUGAGCACUGAUGAGUUUCCAAGAUGGUUGUGCAGCAGGCAUCUGAAGUGCCUUGCUUGGGACUUGGGACAGCAAAAACCCCGAGAGUGGUAGAAACUCCUUUCCUGUAGCACCUCUGAAAAAUAAUUGUGUAUUGUGUGUGGGUUUUUAAAAGAGCACAUUUUAUUUCUUCAUGCCCUAGCAAAAGACCAAAUAGAACUGGCAUGUUGCUAUGGAUCCAUAGUGUGCAUUUUUGACCCUCUUUGGAGUUGUGGGUAAAUUGUUUGGCCAUAGCACUGUAGCCAGUCCCUUCUAAUACCUGCUAUCAUGAUCCUACGUCAUAGCCUGGACAAAUCUUCAGCACCAGAAAAACCAUAGCCCUUUCUCUGGGCUGCCAGAGUCCCAAUUAUUAUUUGCCUGUCUGCUGUUUCCCUGACUGAUUUAGAUACUUGCUGUUUUUCUUGUCCCUGUUUUGCCAGUCUUUAUAUGCUGCUUCAACUAUAGCAAUACUGUACUAACCAUAGGCUUAAGUGCAGCAGCAUAAAGUCACGUACUUCGAGAAAGACCCAUCAAUGGAAAUGUUUAUUGUAUCAGGCUACUGCAUAGGCCUGUUUGGCCAACAAGACAGCUAAAGUACUAACAGCAUAUUUCCAGAAGCACUGUGGUUUUGUUCCAUGUACUCUGGUUCUCUGCAAUUGCUGUACUAUCCUAGAUUAUUCAUCCUUACACAGUUGGAUGUUCUUUUACUCUGGAAAGGAAUUCAUCUGGAUGCAAUCAAAUGCACACGCUUCUUGUCAUUAUGGGCACUCAAACCUCUCUACAGAGGAUACUGAUAACUCUAUUACCUGAAUUUUAGGCAGAUGCAUCGUAACCACUCAGCAUCCAUGCAAUUCCCAUUAGCAUUAGUACAGGAAAAAAUGAGCAUACAAACAGAGAGGAAAAUACAUUUAGGAGGUCCUUGAUUUGCUUAUUUCCACCAUCUCCUUCAGAUAAAGUCACAUUUGAAAGCCUUCAGAUGUUUUUAUCUGUAUUUUAGGAUGGGUGGGGUGUAGUUCUCAGUAUUUCUCAAGCACACCAUGAUGCUAAAUGUUUCUGAAGGACUAAUGGAACUGAAAUUUUGGGUAAUAACUGCCUUAAAAUGAUGUUUUUAUAGAUAUAUAAUUCUGAAAUUUCAUUCAUCUUAAAGGCAGCCCUGUAGAUUUGGAUCCACAAUUUGAAAGAAAGAUGAUGUGCCAUUGACUGUAGCAAUUUAGGAGAGAAUUAUUGGAAUCUGAAUUCUGAUCAGAGGACAGCAGAAAAGCAUACUGAUCAACUUUGGAAAAUGAAAUGGGAAGAGGAAACAGCAAAGUUUAUCCACUUUCAGUCACGAAAUGUAGAGGACACAUAAUCUAUGGACCUAAGCACACAUGAUCCAACUGACAGUGUCAUCACACCAACAUAAUCAAUAAAGCCCAAAGAAUGAAUGUCUUAUGAAGAUAAAUCAAUAAUUUCAAUGGGGUUUGUUGUUGUUGUUGUUGUUGUUGUUGUUGUUGUUGUGUGCCUUCAAAUCAUUUCCAACUCAUGAUGACCCUAAG
Molecule: long non-coding RNA, 2195 nt
Organism: Sceloporus undulatus (fence lizard)
Lineage: Eukaryota; Metazoa; Chordata; Lepidosauria; Squamata; Phrynosomatidae
Exons: 3
Source: RefSeq, a predicted model, not a curated record